UGAAUACGAGACGCUAAGGCGUCGAAGUAGUGUAUGUCAUACUUCCAAGAAAAGCUUGCACUGUCAUAGAUAAAAAACGCCUGUACCAUAACCGACACAGGUGGGUAGGUAGAGUAUACUAAGGGGCGCGAGAUAACUCUCUCUAAGGAACUCGGCAAAAUAACUCCGUAACUUCGGGAGAAGGAGUGCCUUAUUCUUAAGGUUGCAAUAACAAGAUCCAAGCAACUGUUUAUCAAAAACACAGGUCUCCGCUAAGUCGUAAGACGAUGUAUGUGGGCUGACGCCUGCCCAGUGCCAGAAGGUUAAAGAAGCUGGUUAGCAUUUGCGAAGCUAGUAACUGAAGCCCUGGUGAACGGCGGCCGUAACAAUAACGGUCCUAAGGUAGCGAAAUUCCUUGUCGGGUAAGUUCCGACCCGCACGAAAGGCGUAAUGAUUUGGAUACUGUCUCGGAGAGGGGCUCGGUGAAAUAGACUUGUCUGUGAAGAUGCGGACUACCUGCACCAGGACAGAAAGACCCUAUGAAGCUUUACUGUAACUUGAAAUUGAAAUUGGACUUUAUUCGCGCAGUAUAGGUGGGAGGCGUUGAUUAUAAUCUUGCGGGAUUAUUGGAGCCAUUAGUGAGAUACCACUCUUGUAAUGUUAGAUUUCUAACUUUGAAUCAUUAUCUGGUCAAAGAACAGUUUCAGGCGGGCAGUUUGACUGGGGCGGUCGCCUCCCAAACGGUAACGGAGGCGUACAAAGGUUUCCUCUGAACGGUUAGAAAUCGUAUCUAGAGUGUAAAGGCAUAAGGAAGCUUGACUGUGAGACCUACAAGUCGAGCAGGGACGAAAGUCGGUCUUAGUGAUCUGACGGUACUGAGUGGAAAGGCCGUCACUCAACGGAUAAAAGUUACUCUAGGAUAACAGGCUGAUCUCCCCCAAGAGUUCACAUCGACGGGGAGGUUUGGCACCUCGAUGUCGGCUCAUCGCAUCCUGGGGCGGUAGUACGUCCCAAGGGUUGGGCUGUUCGCCCAUGAAAGCGGUACGCGAGCUGGGUUCAGAACGUCGUGAGACAGUUCGGUCCAUAUCCGGUGUAGGCGUUAGAAUAUUGAGAGGAGCCUUCUUUAGUACGAGAGGACCGAGAAGGACAUACCUCUGGUGUACCAGUUAUCGUGCCAACGGUAGACGCUGGGUAGCUAUGUAUGGAGUGGAUAACCGCUGAAAGCAUCUAAGUGGGAAGCCCACCUCAAGAUAAG
This 1234-nucleotide ribosomal RNA is filed under the name metagenome. RNAcentral describes it as "bacterial LSU rRNA". It matches the Rfam family "Bacterial large subunit ribosomal RNA", at positions 1564 to 2808 of the family's 2925-position model. The record is from RNAcentral.